UGGGAAGUUGAUUAAGACAAAAAGUUUCAAGAAACUACUUACUUUGUUCUCAAGGCAAAGGGAAAGCCUUUAGUCAUCCAUAAACAAAAUUUUAAAGGUUCAUAAUUAGCUACUCAUUAAAGGACAGUUUGAUAAAUUAAUAGCUAUGCUUUGUCAUAAAGGUGAACUGGAAUUAAGAAUCUAAGCAGCCACACUCCUAAAAUAUCUUUAUGUAUUCAUUCUUGUCUGCAGAAACACAACAGUUCCUUCCUCUCUUCUCCUUCAUGUUAAUCUGUCUUCAAGUUCAUCUGUCUUUUAUCCCAUGAUUUAUUUUUCUUUUUAGCACAUAUGUGUGUAUAUGCAUAUACACGUGUGUAUAUCUUCUGAAUUACACUGUUUUCACUUCCUAUAAAAGAGGCUUCAAACUCCCAGCUCUCCUUUGAGCUCUUUGUUCAGAAACCUCCCAUUGCUGCAAGUAGGGCUGCAAAGCUGAGUUGGUGCAGCAACUCCCACUGCUUUGGUUUCACCCAUUUUGAAACCUGUCCUGUGCCUUCCUUUACUUGUGUGCUCCAUGUCUGUUACCCAAAGCACUCUCCUCUUUCUCCUUUGUAUCCCUUCCCAAAGGAUUCAGCAAAGCCUGCACUGACUUUUUUCCUCCAGUUGCAUUUAUUUUUCCCUUCCCUAUCCUGUUGGCCAGAUUUUUAUUAGCUGCUGAAUAAAGUUGCGAGUUGUUCAGGGCAAGGUCUGUCUUUACUUUCCAUGGACCUUCAGUCUGUUCUGAGGUCAGAGCCUGCUAUUCUGAUUCUGGCAUGUGCAGGAUGUAAGCCGAGAACGAGGAGUUCUUCAAGCUUGUGGAAAUUCUCUUUCCUUUCCAAAUCUGGGUGCUUUUGAGAGUGUCAGCAAUGUUUGUUUGCUAAGAAACACUGCCAGCUCUUUCAGCCACCCUGGUGGUGCUGGCCUGGCUCCAAGCAGCAUGGAUGAGGUCAUGAGCUCUGGAGUGACUGGAUUCAGCAUCUUACCUCUAUGGAAACAGAGCCUCAUGAUAGGAGAGACGACAAACAGCAGGAAGAAAAUACGUGGUGCUCCAUGGCUUAGGAGACAGGAGCAGCUAUGGCUGACUCCACAGGUGGUCCAGAGACAGGCAAAGAUGUGGAAGAUCUGACAAAAAGCUUGGAGGAACUCUGUGAGAGCUCUAAGGAGCAGAGUGAGGAGGUGCUACUGCUUUCACACCUAGAACAGCAUCAUCAUCUUGUCUC
Molecule: long non-coding RNA, 1235 nt
Filed under: Zonotrichia albicollis (white-throated sparrow)
Lineage: Eukaryota; Metazoa; Chordata; Aves; Passeriformes; Passerellidae
Description: lncRNA (ENSZALG00000008094.1)
Source: RNAcentral